This is an RNA transcript of Syzygium oleosum, 1120 nucleotides long. It is a transcript of the gene named isoleucine--tRNA ligase, cytoplasmic-like, with no coding region annotated. NCBI's taxonomy places the organism in Eukaryota, Viridiplantae, Streptophyta, Magnoliopsida, Myrtales, Myrtaceae. The transcript has 5 exons. The record is from RefSeq and is a predicted model, not a curated record.
CCGCCUCUUCUUCUUCUUCUUCGUCUGGGUUUUCCUCUCUCGACGGAGCCACAUUCGGCUCAAGCGGAGAGAGGGCGGAGCCGCAUCUGGCUCCGAUCAUCGGUGAUGGGACGCCCCUGUCUCGGGGCCAGAGAGAGAGAGAGGAAUGGGGACUAGGAUGAUCGGGGGCUCGGCGACUGGGUCGCGCUUGGUGGCUGCGAAGGCGAGGCUGAGCAACGACGCCCGGGCGGCGGAUUCGUUUUACACACUUAUGGUGUUGGCUACUGCAUUAUUUGGAAAACCGGCAUUUAGGAAUCUCAUCUGCAAUGGACUAGUUCUUGCUGAGGAUGGGAAAAAGAUGAGCAAGAGCUUAAAAAACUAUCCUUCUCCCUUGAAUGUUAUAAAUGAUUAUGGGGCCGAGGCAUUGCGUUUAUCCUUAAUCAAUUCUCCGGUGAUGCGUGCGCAGGUUUCACGGUUCAAGAAGGAAGGGGUCUAUUGUGUCGUGGUUGUGGUUAAAGUGUCCGGAGGGAGAGGGAGAGGGCGAGAGAGUGAGAGGGAGCUCCCUUUGAGCAACUAACCUUAAAAUACUUAAGUAGCUCGAGGUUGAGCUCGACUUGAAACCAUAUAAAUCUAUCUCAAGUAACCAUCAAGUCGAGCCCAAGCUACUCGCUUUGACAUGGUUCGACCUAGUAACACUGAAUGUGGUUGUGGUUAAAGCGUCCGGAGGGAGAGGGAGAGGGCAAGAGAGCGAGGGAGAGGGAAGGCGAGAGAGAGAGAGAGGGAGGGAGGGAGCUCCCUUUGAGCAACUAACCUUAAGGUGCAUUUGUUUUUCAAAAAAUUUCAUGAUGAAGUAUAAUAUUUUUUAUGAAAAUCAUUUUUAAGAAAAAUGGUUAGUUUUCAUUUAUUUUAUUUUUUUCUUAGCAGAAGGGGACGGUUUUUUCAAUCUAAACUUGUGGUUUUCAAUCCAUGGAAAACAUUUUUCCAUAGAUCAAUUAAUUUUUUGUCAAACGGACUCUUAAUUAUAGGUAGCUUAUAGCUCUAAAAAUAUAUGUUAAACCAAUUUGUCUAUGCAACUAUAUUAGUUAACUAAUGUUCCUUAGUAGAUUUUUCAACAUUAAGUUCGACACUAGAUUCUGACAAA